UGCGGACCAAAAGCUCCUGCCAACCUAGCAGUUCGAAAACCUGCAAAUGUGAGUAGAUCAAUAGGUACCGCUCCGGCAGGAAGGUAAUGGCGCUCCAUGUACUCAUGCCAGUGGCCACAUGAUCUUGGCGGUGUCUACGGACAACGCCGGCUCUUCGGCUUAGAAAUGGAGAUGAGCACCAACCCCCAGAGAUAUUGUGGGAUUUUCUGAGUUAUAUGGCUGAGUGGAAGGGCCCUUAGAGGCAAUGACAUUCAUACCUUCACUCAGCCAUGCACAGAACUUACUCUAUGUCCUGGAGCCCGUCUCUUGUUUCUUUCCUGUCUGCCUAACCGACUUAAUAGGGUCGCGGUGCGAGCAACAUGAAGAGAGACAAUGCUGCAUAACUGCCUUCAACUCCUUGGUGGAAAGGUAGGAGUAUCAACAAAUGAGUGGUGCUAUCUUCUGCAUUUUACUAAAAAAUACCUACAGUUGCACUAAUAGAGACUGGCAGAUCUUUCCAUCCGUAGGUUGUCCCCACCACUUCAGUUCUGUCAUCUCCAGAAGUUGUUUACCCACCUGCCCAGGUUUUGAUCACUCCAAAAUGCAGCCCCAAAAAUCAAGGACCCCGUAUGUGCUCCCAAUGACAGCACCACUGUUCCACUUUAACAACCACGGUUCUAGUUUAAGGCCUUUUGGAUUGAAGUUUGGUCAAGUGCUGGGUCACUCCAGCUGAGAAUCAUGAGUAGGCUUCUCCUAAACUGCAAAUCCCAGGAUCUCAUAGGAUGAAACCGGCAGUUAAAGUGGAAUAAUUGCAGUAUAAUUCUGUAGGGUGAACGGCCUGCCAAAGAGAAAAGUGCUAGACGGGGAUUAUGGGGUUUGGUCUCCUUUGAGACAGUCUGAAUUUUCAAUUGUGCACUGAAAUGUGAACUUAUCCAGGGUGUUCUUCCCAUGAGUUAUGUUUGAAUGUUUCCUCACUUUCAUUCUGAGGAUGGAUUCAAUGUGUAAAGACAUCCAAUUACCUGGUGCCUGAAAGUGCGCAUUAGCUCAUGCUGAUGCACUGCUGUCCAAAACUAUAAUUCUUUCUUUAGGUUUGAAUUCUCACUCAGCUGUUACAGAUAAUACCAGAUAAAAACAAUAACAAUAUACAAUACAUCAAUAAACAAAAAACAUACACAAAUUAUAAAAUUUGAAACAUUAACCUAUAGAAAUAAAAAACACACUCAAUAAAACAUGGAAUUAAAAACAGCAAGGUUAUGAUAAUAGACUAGGUAAAGUGCACAUUAUAAAAGUUGUAAACUCAAAAUAACAGAAUAAAUUGCUGCAAAUUCGUUGGAGAUCAAUUUGGGAUCUUUGCCUCUGCAUAUAUCAUAUUAGCUUUUAUAUAGACAAUUUAAGCUCUUUGUAUGAGCCAAAGUAACAAAGGACCUGUGCUCUUCUCUUUCUCUUUGAGCUGGUACCUUUCUCUAGAAAGUUCCAAGGACAGAAGCUAGUUUGGAGUAAACAAGUGAGAUCGCAGACACCAAUCUGUGCCAAAGAGGUGUGGAGGUGAGGAAGACCCUCAGUAAUUGGUCAAGUUUAGAUAAGCCAAGAUAUAUAUUCUUUGUUUACUGCGGCACGCUUCGCAGUGGCCAUUUGCAAGUGCAGACCUUUUGUGUGUGUAGGGCUGUUUGCCUUCUCAUAGCUAUGAUGAAAAUAAACUUUUACUGGGUUUUACUGUCUGCAAGCCUCCUGAGCCAGGAUCCUUGGAGAUAAAUUGUACUACACUAGCAGUUCGAAAACAUGAAAUGUGAGUAGAUCAAUAGGUACUGCUCUGGCAGGAAGGUAACGGCACUCCAUGCAGUCAUGCCAGUGGCCACAUGAUCUUGGAGGUGUCUAUGGACAUGCAAAUGUGAGUAGAUCAAUAGGUACUGCUCCGGCGGGAAGGUAACAGUGCUUCAUGCAGUCAUGCCAGUGGCCACAUGACCUUGGAGGUGUCUACAGACAUGCAAAUGUGAGUAGAUCAAUAGGUACUGCUCCGGCGGGAAGGUAACAGUGCUCCAUGCAGUCAUGCCAAUGGCCACAUCACCUUGGAAGUGUCUACAGACAUGCAAAUGUGAGUAGAUCAAUAGGUACUGCUCCGACGGGAAGGUAACAGUGCUCCAUGCAGUCAUGCCAAUGGCCACAUCACCUUGGAAGUGUCUACAGACAUGCAAAUGUGAGUAGAUCAAUAGGUACUGCUCCGGCGGGAAGGUAACAAUGCUCCAUGCAGUCAUGCCAAUGGCCACAUCACCUUGGAAGUGUCUACAGACAUGCAAAUGUGAGUAGAUCAAUAGGUACUGCUCCGGCGGGAAGGUAACAAUGCUCCAUGCAGUCAUGCCAAUGGCCACAUCACCUUGGAAGUGUCUACAGACAUGCAAAUGUGAGUAGAUUAAUAGGUACUGCUCCGGCAGGAAGGUAACAAUGCUCCAUGCAGUCAUGCCAGUGGCCACAUGACCUUGGAGGUGUCUAUGGACAUGCAAAUGUGAGUAGAUCAAUAGGUACUGCUCCGGCGGGAAGGUAAUGGCACUCCAUGCAGGCAUGCCAGUGGCCACAUGACCUUGGAGGUGUCUAUGGACAUGCUAAUAUGAGUAGAUCAAUAGGUACUGCUCCGGCGGGAAGGUAACAGUGCUCCAUGCAGUCAUGCCAGUGGCCACAUGACCUUGGAGGUGUCUAUGGACAUGGGAAUGUGAGUAGAUCAAUAGGUACUGCUCCGGCGGGAAGGUAACAGCUCUCCAUGCAGUCAUGCCAAUGGCCACAUGACCUUGGAGGUGUCUAUGGACAUGGGAAUGUGAGUAGAUCAAUGGGUACCGCUCCGGCGGGAAGGUAACAGCUCUCCAUGCAGUCAUGCCUAUGGCCACAUGACCUUGGAGGUGUCUAUGGACAUGGGAAUGUGAGUAGAUCAAUAGGUACCGCUCCGGCGGGAAGGUAACAGCGCUCCAUGCAGUCAUGCCAAUGGCCACAUGACCUUGGAGGUGUCUAUGGACAUGCAAAUGUGAGUAGAUCAAUAGGUACUUCUCCGGUGGGAAGGUAAUGGCACUCCAUGCAGGCAUGCCAGCCACAUGACCUUGGAGGUGUCUACAGACAACGCUGGCUCUUCAGCUUAGAAAUGGGCACCAACCCCCAGAGUUGGGCACGGCUGGACUUAAUGUCAGGGGAAAACCUUUACCUAGGAAAGUCCAGAGGCCAUAAAUAUGGCCAUAAAGGGGUUGUUCUGACUGCUGGAGCUAAAUGCAGUCACUCAAUACCGAGAAACACCUGCACGACAACGAAACCAUGAUGUGAAAAACAGUGUCCCGGAGUCUUGGUUUCUAUUCUUAAGGGUCUCCAUGCCGUAUGCUCUCCGGUCUCUGCACAUACCAAGCAAGCAAAGUGACUAAGUUUUAUAGCAACACCUUUCAACUCUACUCAUAGUUUGUGCUGCAAAACCCAGACUCAGGUUUCCGUGAUGGUGUUUUGGAGGCCUCCUGUUGCUCAAAACUUACAGUUGGAGGAGGUUUCGAUCCUGUGUUACCAUUUGAAGAAGGGCUCUUGAAAUGAAUGUGACUUUCUUCGGCCCCUUCUUCACAAGCCUCUCAUUUCUAUACACUUUAAAGACAAAAUCCACUCCUUGCGCCACUGCCCAGCCUUUUACUAUUUUUUUAAUAUAUAUAAUGUUUAUUUAUUUUCAUUCAUUCAAAUAUACAUACAUUGCAAGUGUUUGUUGCAUACAAUGCAAUACUAUUUUAACCUCUUGUAUUGUUUUUAUUUGGUGGUUUUUACCUACCAUUAUAUUGUUGUUCAAAAUGUUGGUUUAAUCUGUGCCAUGUUAAAUGCAAAUUAUGUUUGUUUUUAUUGUGAAUGUAUUUUAUCUUGUUUUAUUGUGGAAAUGUGGGCUUGGCCCCAUGUGAGCCACCCUGAGUCCCUGCGGGGAGAUGGAGGAAGUGUACAAAAAUAAAUUUGUUGUUAUUAUUAUUAUUAGGGUAAAGGUAAAGGUUUUCCCCUGAUAUUAAGUCCAGUCGUGUCUGAAGAGCUGGCAUUGUCCGUAGACACCUCCAAGGUCAUGUGGCCAUAAGCAUGACUGCAUGAAAUGCUGUUGCCUUCCCGCUGGAGCGGUACCUAUUGAUCUACUCACAUUUGCAUGUUUUCGAACUGCUAGGUUGGCAGAAGCUGGGGCUCACUCUGCUCCCCGAAUUCGAACCUGUGAACUUUUGGUCUGCAAGUUCAGCAGCUCUGCACUUUGACACACUGCGCCACCAGGGUUCCCUGUUGUUGUUGUUGUUGUUGUUGUUGUUGUUAUUAUUAUUAUUAUUGUAUGACACAGCAAACAAGAUAGAUAUGCUGGAUUUCGCUCCCUGGAUUUGAACUCCCAAUGUUUUGGUCAGCAAGUUCAAUAGCUCAGCGGUUUAACACGCUGUGCCAUCGGAAGCUCCGACGUGGCUGGCAUGACUGCAUGGAGCGGCGUUACCUUCCCGCAGAAGCGGUACCUAUUGAUCUACUCACAUUUGCAUGUUUUCAAACUACUAGGCUGGCAGAAGCUGGGGCUAACAGCGGGUGCUUACUCUGCUCCCCGAAUUCGAACCUGUGAACUUUUGGUCUGCAAGUUCAGCAGCUCUGCACUUUGACACACUGCGCCACCAGGGUUCCCUGUUGUUGUUGUUGUUGUUAUUAUUAUUAUUAUUAUUGUAUGACACAGCAAACAAGAUAGAUAUGCUGGAUUUCACUCCCUGGAUUUGAACUCCCAAUGUUUUGGUCAGCAAUUUCAGCAGCUCAGCGGUUUAACACGCUGUGCCAUCGGAAGCUCCGACGUGGCUGGCAUGACUGCAUGGAGCGGCGUUACCUUCCCGCAGAAGCGGGAAACACGGUACCACCAAUCCCAGAGACAACAGAAGCCUUUGACUAGCUUAGGCUUCACAAAGAAAGAGGCCUGAGACAGUCCUUGGGCUCCAGCUUGCGAGCCAUUGCUUCACACCAGAGACAGAGGACUUUCAAAGACUCCAGAGAGAUGCCUGCAAUCAGCAAAAUCUCCCUUUGUAAUGUAUUGUUUUAAGCUAUCUUUCAGUAUUCAUUUUGCUUUCAGUAAACUCAUUUGGGUCAUCUUUUCA
Molecule: long non-coding RNA, 5078 nt
Organism: Anolis carolinensis (green anole)
Lineage: Eukaryota; Metazoa; Chordata; Lepidosauria; Squamata; Anolidae
Exons: 2
Source: RefSeq, a predicted model, not a curated record